RNAcentral lists this long non-coding RNA (1467 nucleotides) under Oncorhynchus kisutch (coho salmon). RNAcentral's name for it is "lncRNA (ENSOKIG00005042989.1)". Lineage: Eukaryota; Metazoa; Chordata; Actinopteri; Salmoniformes; Salmonidae. The record is from RNAcentral.
AUGACAGAUGAAGCUGCAGUAGUAGCCCCAGUAGUGAUGACAGAUGAAGCUGCAGUAGUGAUGACAGAUGAAGCUACAGUAGUAGCCCCAGUAGUGAUGACAGAUGAAGCUACAGUAGUAGCCCCAGUAGUGAUGACAGAUGAAGCUACAGUAGUAGUCCCAGUAGUGAUGACAGAUGAAGCUGCAGUAGUAGCCCCAGUAAUGAUGACAGAUGAAGCUGCAGUAGUAGCCCCAGUAGUGAUGACAGAUGAAGCUACAGUAGUGAUAACAGACCUCAACAGCGACAUCAGAACAGCGAUCAGAACAGCGAUCACUAACCUUCUAGACAUCAGAACAGCGAUCACUAACCUCCUAGACAUCAGAACAGCGAUCACUAACCUUCUGGACAUCAGAACAGCGAUCACUAACCUUCUAGACAUCAGAACAGCGAUCACUAACCUUCUGGACAUCAGAACAGCGAUCACUAACCUUCUAGACAUCAGAACAGCGAUCACUAACCUUCUAGACAUCAGAACAGCGAUCACUAACCUUCUAGACAUCCAAACAGCGAUCACUAACCUUCUGGACAUCAGAACAGCGAUCACUAACCUCCUAGACAUCAGAACAGCGAUCACUAACCUUCUAGACAUCAGAACAUCGAUCACUAACCUUCUAGACAACCAAACAGCGAUCACUAACCUUCUAGACAUCCGAACAUCGAUCACUAACCUCCUAGACAUCAGAACAGCGAUCACUAACCUUCUGGACAUCAGAACAGCGAUCACUAACCUCCUAGACAUCAGAACAGCGAUCACUAACCUUCUGGACAUCCGAACAUCGAUCACUAACCUCCUAGACAUCAGAACAGCGAUCACUAACCUUCUAGACAUCCGAACAGCGAUCACUAACCUCCUAGACAUCAGAACAGCGAUCGCUAACCUUCUGGACAUCAGAACAGCGAUCACUAACCUCCUAGACAUCAGAACAGCGAUCACUAACCUUCUAGACAUCCAAACAUCGAUCACUAACCUCCUAGACAUCAGAACAGCGAUCACUAACCUUCUGGACAUCAGAACAGCGAUCACUAACCUUCUAGACAUCCAAACAGCGAUCACUAACCUUCUAGACAUCCGAACAUCGAUCACUAACCUCCUAGACAUCAGAACAGCGAUCACUAACCUUCUGGACAUCAGAACAUCGAUCACUAACCUUCUAGACAUCCGAACAUCGAUCACUAACCUCCUGGACAUCAGAACAUCGAUCACUAACCUUCUAGACAACCAAACAGCGAUCACUAACCUUCUGGACAUCAGAACAGCGACCACUAACCUUCUGGACAUCAGAACAGCGAUCACUAACCCUCUAGACAUCCGAACAGCGAUCACUAACCUUCUAGACAUCAGAACAGAGAUCACUAACCUUGUUUUGGUUGAAGAUUUCUACUUCACCAGUUGGCAGCUGUACUGUUCAUUCCAUACCAGGCUCUAA